RNAcentral lists this ribosomal RNA (530 nucleotides) under Fusarium pseudocircinatum. Its description in RNAcentral is "eukaryotic LSU rRNA". It matches the Rfam family "Eukaryotic large subunit ribosomal RNA", at positions 75 to 628 of the family's 3401-position model. The record is from RNAcentral. Lineage: Eukaryota; Fungi; Ascomycota; Sordariomycetes; Hypocreales; Nectriaceae.
UUGCCCUAGUAACGGCGAGUGAAGCGGCAACAGCUCAAAUUUGAAAUCUGGCUCUCGGGCCCGAGUUGUAAUUUGUAGAGGAUACUUUUGAUGCGGUGCCUUCCGAGUUCCCUGGAACGGGACGCCAUAGAGGGUGAGAGCCCCGUCUGGUUGGAUGCCAAAUCUCUGUAAAGUUCCUUCGACGAGUCGAGUAGUUUGGGAAUGCUGCUCUAAAUGGGAGGUAUAUGUCUUCUAAAGCUAAAUACCGGCCAGAGACCGAUAGCGCACAAGUAGAGUGAUCGAAAGAUGAAAAGCACUUUGAAAAGAGAGUUAAAAAGUACGUGAAAUUGUUGAAAGGGAAGCGUUUAUGACCAGACUUGGGCUUGGUUGAUCAUCUGGGGUUCUCCCCAGUGCACUCUUCCAGUCCAGGCCAGCAUCAGUUUUCGCCGGGGGAUAAAGACUUCGGGAAUGUGGCUCUCUUCGGGGAGUGUUAUAGCCCGUUGUGUAAUACCCUGGCGGGGACUGAGGUUCGCGCAUCUGCAAGGAUGCUG